This 320-nucleotide ribosomal RNA is filed under the name uncultured eukaryote. RNAcentral's name for it is "partial 18S ribosomal RNA". It matches the Rfam family "Eukaryotic small subunit ribosomal RNA", at positions 1470 to 1796 of the family's 1831-position model. The record is from RNAcentral.
CCCCUAGAUGUUCUGGGCCGCACGCGCGCUACACUGAACAGUUCAACAAGUCUUAACCUUGGCCGAUAGGUCUGGGUAAUCUUUGAACGCUGUUCGUGAUUGGGAUAGACCUUUGCAAUUAUUGGUCUUCAACGAGGAAUUCCUAGUAAACGCAAGUCAUCAGCUUGCAUUGAUUACGUCCCUGCCCUUUGUACACACCGCCCGUCGCACCUACCGAUUGAAUGGUCCGGUGAAAUCUCGGGACGGCGGCUUGGUCGCUUGCGUCCGACUGCUGAAACUUGAUUAAACCAUAUCAUUUAGAGGAAGGUGAAGUCGUANCA